GCGGCUGUAGCUCAGUGGAUAGAGCAUCUCCCUCCUAAGGAGAGGGUCGCAGGUUCGAUUCCUGCCAGCCGCACCA
RNAcentral lists this transfer RNA (76 nucleotides) under Vitreoscilla sp. RNAcentral's name for it is "tRNA-Arg". It matches the Rfam family "tRNA". Rfam says of the family: Transfer RNA (tRNA) molecules are approximately 80 nucleotides in length. Their secondary structure includes four short double-helical elements and three loops (D, anti-codon, and T loops). The record is from RNAcentral. RNAcentral also lists the same sequence under 10 other names. Lineage: Bacteria; Pseudomonadati; Pseudomonadota; Betaproteobacteria; Neisseriales; Neisseriaceae.